GCGAUGAUCAGGAGCUUGCUCCUGUGAUUAGUGGCGAACGGGUGAGUAACACGUGAGUAACCUGCCCCUGACUCUGGGAUAAGCGUUGGAAACGACGUCUAAUACUGGAUAUGAUCACUGGCCGCAUGGUCUGGUGGUGGAAAGAUUUUUUGGUUGGGGAUGGACUCGCGGCCUAUCAGCUUGUUGGUGAGGUAAUGGCUCACCAAGGCGACGACGGGUAGCCGGCCUGAGAGGGUGACCGGCCACACUGGGACUGAGACACGGCCCAGACUCCUACGGGAGGCAGCAGUGGGGAAUAUUGCACAAUGGGCGAAAGCCUGAUGCAGCAACGCCGCGUGAGGGAUGACGGCCUUCGGGUUGUAAACCUCUUUUAGUAGGGAAGAAGCGAAAGUGACGGUACCUGCAGAAAAAGCACCGGCUAACUACGUGCCAGCAGCCGCGGUAAUACGUAGGGUGCAAGCGUUGUCCGGAAUUAUUGGGCGUAAAGAGCUCGUAGGCGGUUUGUCGCGUCUGCUGUGAAAUCCCGAGGCUCAACCUCGGGCUUGCAGUGGGUACGGGCAGACUAGAGUGCGGUAGGGGAGAUUGGAAUUCCUGGUGUAGCGGUGGAAUGCGCAGAUAUCAGGAGGAACACCGAUGGCGAAGGCAGAUCUCUGGGCCGUAACUGACGCUGAGGAGCGAAAGCGUGGGGAGCGAACAGGAUUAGAUACCCUGGUAGUCCACGCCGUAAACGUUGGGCGCUAGAUGUAGGGGACCUUUCCACGGUUUCUGUGUCGUAGCUAACGCAUUAAGCGCCCCGCCUGGGGAGUACGGCCGCAAGGCUAAAACUCAAAGGAAUUGACGGGGGCCCGCACAAGCGGCGGAGCAUGCGGAUUAAUUCGAUGCAACGCGAAGAACCUUACCAAGGCUUGACAUACACCGGAAACGGCCAGAGAUGGUCGCCCCCUUGUGGUCGGUGUACAGGUGGUGCAUGGUUGUCGUCAGCUCGUGUCGUGAGAUGUUGGGUUAAGUCCCGCAACGAGCGCAACCCUCGUUCUAUGUUGCCAGCGCGUUAUGGCGGGGACUCAUAGGAGACUGCCGGGGUCAACUCGGAGGAAGGUGGGGAUGACGUCAAAUCAUCAUGCCCCUUAUGUCUUGGGCUUCACGCAUGCUACAAUGGCCGGUACAAAGGGCUGCGAUACCGUAAGGUGGAGCGAAUCCCAAAAAGCCGGUCUCAGUUCGGAUUGAGGUCUGCAACUCGACCUCAUGAAGUCGGAGUCGCUAGUAAUCGCAGAUCAGCAACGCUGCGGUGAAUACGUUCCCGGGCCUUGUACACACCGCCCGUCAAGUCAUGAAAGUCGGUAACACCCGAAGCCGGUGGCCUAACCC
RNAcentral lists this ribosomal RNA (1365 nucleotides) under unidentified. Its description in RNAcentral is "bacterial SSU rRNA". It matches the Rfam family "Bacterial small subunit ribosomal RNA", at positions 66 to 1441 of the family's 1533-position model. The record is from RNAcentral.